UCCGUUGUAGUCUAGCUGGUCAGGAUACUCGGCUCUCACCCGAGAGACCCGGGUUCGAGACCCGGGUUCGAGUCCCGGCAACAGAG
This is a non-coding RNA of Brassica rapa (field mustard), 86 nucleotides long. The record is from Rfam. NCBI's taxonomy places the organism in Eukaryota, Viridiplantae, Streptophyta, Magnoliopsida, Brassicales, Brassicaceae.